GUAUACUCUCUUGUUCUGCUUCUAGGGCUCAUUCUUCUGUGUGUUCCCAUUCUCGCUAGUAGUCAAGAGGAAUUCUCAACAUUAAGAGAAAAUGUAGUUUUUGACCAAGAGGAUGUAGAGGCUCUCUUUCCUCACAUCCAAAAGGCGCACGCUCCCAACCACCACAAACAUGGCCAUCAUCACCAUCACAAUCACCACCACCACCACCACCACCACCAUAAGGGCAAACACCACCACCAUCACGCUCAUCCACCUAAGCAUGGUCCCGCUUACAGUGCUCCUGGACCUGCGCCAACAAGCUUAUGAAAGAGAUUAUUUGCAAGAAAAAACAAGACUUCUUAAUGAAUUUAUUGAUGAAUUUAUAGUAUGAAAAGGAGUUUUGUUGACAUUGUUUACUCUUGAUAGCAUGGCCAUUUCUCUUAACGUUACAAAGAGG
Molecule: long non-coding RNA, 436 nt
Filed under: Olea europaea subsp. europaea
Lineage: Eukaryota; Viridiplantae; Streptophyta; Magnoliopsida; Lamiales; Oleaceae
Source: RNAcentral